This 73-nucleotide transfer RNA is filed under the name Ovis aries (sheep). It matches the Rfam family "tRNA". Rfam says of the family: Transfer RNA (tRNA) molecules are approximately 80 nucleotides in length. Their secondary structure includes four short double-helical elements and three loops (D, anti-codon, and T loops). Further hydrogen bonds mediate the characteristic L-shaped molecular structure. tRNAs have two regions of fundamental functional importance: the anti-codon, which is responsible for specific mRNA codon recognition, and the 3' end, to which the tRNAs corresponding amino acid is attached (by aminoacyl-tRNA synthetases). tRNAs cope with the degeneracy of the genetic code in two manners: having more than one tRNA (with a specific anti-codon) for a particular amino acid; and 'wobble' base-pairing, i.e. permitting non-standard base-pairing at the 3rd anti-codon position. The record is from Rfam by way of RNAcentral. Lineage: Eukaryota; Metazoa; Chordata; Mammalia; Artiodactyla; Bovidae.
UCCCCUGUGGCCCAGAUGGUAGAGAAUCUGCCUGCAAUGCAGGAGACCUGGGUUUAGUCCCUGGGUAGGGGAA